This 460-nucleotide ribosomal RNA is filed under the name uncultured bacterium. RNAcentral describes it as "partial 16S ribosomal RNA". It matches the Rfam family "Bacterial small subunit ribosomal RNA", at positions 338 to 795 of the family's 1533-position model. The record is from RNAcentral.
CCUACGGGAGGCAGCAGUGAGGAAUAUUGGUCAAUGGACGCAAGUCUGAACCAGCCAUGCCGCGUGCAGGAAGACGGCUCUAUGAGUUGUAAACUGCUUUUGUACGAGGGUAAACGCAGAUACGUGUAUCUGUCUGAAAGUAUCGUACGAAUAAGGAUCGGCUAACUCCGUGCCAGCAGCCGCGGUAAUACGGAGGAUUCAAGCGUUAUCCGGAUUUAUUGGGUUUAAAGGGUGCGUAGGCGGUCGGAUAAGUUAGAGGUGAAAUCCCGAGGCUCAACUUCGGAAUUGCCUCUGAUACUGGUAGGCUAGAGAGUAGUUGCGGUAGGCGGAAUGUAUGGUGUAGCGGUGAAAUGCUUAGAGAUCAUACAGAACACCGAUUGCGAAGGCAGCUUACCAAGCUACGUCUGACGUUGAGGCACGAAAGCGUGGGGAGCAAACAGGAUUAGAUACCCCAGUAGUC